Molecule: transfer RNA, 70 nt
Filed under: Arctopsyche sp. XG-2022
Lineage: Eukaryota; Metazoa; Arthropoda; Insecta; Trichoptera; Hydropsychidae
Description: tRNA-Met
Source: RNAcentral
UAAAAAAUAAGCUAAGUUAAGCUAAUGAACUCAUACUUCAUUUAUAAAAGAAUAAAUCUUUUUUUUUUAU